AACGAACGCUGGCGGUAUGCUUAACACAUGCAAGUCGAACGAACAAAAUUGGGGCUUGCUCCAAUUUUAGUGAGUGGCAAACGGGUGAGUAACACGUGGGAAUCUACCUAUCAGUACGGAAUAACAUUUGGAAACAGAUGCUAAUACCGUAUAUUCUCCAAGGAGGAAAGAUUUAUCGCUGAUAGAUGAGCCCGCGUAAGAUUAGGUAGUUGGUAGGGUAAUGGCCUACCAAGCCGACGAUCUUUAGCUGGUCUGAGAGGAUGAUCAGCCACACUGGGACUGAGACACGGCCCAGACUCCUACGGGAGGCAGCAGUGGGGAAUAUUGGACAAUGGGCGAAAGCCUGAUCCAGCAAUACCGCGUGAAUGAUGAAGGCCUUAGGGUUGUAAAGUUCUUUUAGUUGGAAAGAUAGUGACGGUACCAACAGAAAAAGCCCCGGCUAACUCCGUGCCAGCCGCCGCUGUAA
Molecule: ribosomal RNA, 466 nt
Filed under: uncultured bacterium
Lineage: Bacteria
Description: partial 16S ribosomal RNA
Rfam family: Bacterial small subunit ribosomal RNA
Source: RNAcentral